GACGAACGCUGGCGGCGCGCUUAACACAUGCAAGUCGAGCGAUGAAAUCUUGACAGAUUCCUUUGGGGUGAAGAUAAGAUGGAUUAGCGGCGGACGGGUGAGUAACAUGUGAGUAACCUGCCUUAGACAUUGGGAUAGCCUCGGGAAACCGGGAUUAAUACCAAAUGAAAUCAUAGGUGCCCAUGCACUAAUGAUCAAAAGUCCGGUGGUCUAAGAUGGACUCGCGUCCCAUUAGCUAGUUGGUGAGGUAAUGGCCCACCAAGGCGACGAUGGGUAGCCGGGCUGGGAGGCUGACCCGCCACAUUGGAGCUAAGAAACAGUCCAAACUCCUACGGAAGGGAGCAGUGGGGAAUAUUGCACAAUGGAGGGAGCUCUGAUGCAGCGACGCCGCGUAAACGAUGAAGGCUUUCGAGUAGUGAAGUUCUUUUAUAUGGGAAGAUAAUGACGGUACCAUAAGAAAAAGCCCCGGCUAACUACGUG
This 480-nucleotide ribosomal RNA is filed under the name uncultured bacterium. Its description in RNAcentral is "partial 16S ribosomal RNA". It matches the Rfam family "Bacterial small subunit ribosomal RNA", at positions 28 to 507 of the family's 1533-position model. The record is from RNAcentral.